CACUUCUUUUUUUCGUUCAAAAUGGACGGUCGCGUUUUCUGCUUGAAUUCUCAACUAAAAUUUAACAAAUGGGAUGUUGUGCGGUAGCAGGAAAUGGAACUGAAAAUAACUAUGGAAAAAACAGUUUUUAUGGCUUUCUGUCAAAUUUAUCCACACGUGUCUCAAAAUGGUCUAUUCGAAUAAAAGAGAUUUCGCUUACGGCAAAGAUAGACGGAAGAUUAUAUGAUUCGAAAUAAGUUCUUAUAAAUUCCUAGGGAUCUGUAAUGUCGGACUCCUAUUUUCCUUAAUUCCGGAAAAAUCAAAAUGUUUAGAAUUUAAGUCAGUGAUCCUGGCCGUCUGCUUAAGGAAAAAUGAGAAAAUGAGAAAAUGGUUGACACAAAUCAUAAUCAUAAUCAAACAAAAUAUACAAUCCACGGAUAAAUCUUUUCUCAGAACAAUGGAACACAGAAAUGCGGUCAAGUUUGGAAAUAUGAGAAAUAUUUUUUCAAGUUUACUCGUUGUUUUCACUGGGUUUUGCGCUUUGUAGUUAAACGGGAACGCAGGAAAGCUUAGAUAUUGAACGAAUAAAAUUUAAAAAUGGUAUUUGCACACUAUAUAAAUCAAGCUGCGAAGGAAUUUUGGUGAUUAAUGAAGAUUCGCUAAUAUCAACAUAUUACAAAAUAAAACCCGAUUGAGGAUGGCUAAAAAUCUAAAGGUAUUCCCCGUGUUGACUGACAGCCGAUUUGCAAUGGCUUUUUAGUACAAGGUCUUCAUAAUAUGCAGUACCCAAGUUGGUUUGGAUUAUAAUAUGUAUUUCCAAGAUGUUUGAAGAUUACCAGGGAAAAAGUCUAUCUACCCUGCAAGAUUAUUAAGGCUUGAACUAAAGAGCGGUCGUUUUGCAUGGAAGAUCCCAAAUGAACGCAGAAUAUUAAUAAGGUAAUACCUGACAUCUGGCUUUGUGAUUCAGCUGAACUUUUGUGGUAUCGUGCGAAUUGCAAAGAUCGACCAACGCCAUUUCACUCCAAACCCCAAAUUGCUGUAGUCAUUUAAACAAAUAAAAACUCAAAAGAUACUGUUUAAU
Molecule: long non-coding RNA, 1060 nt
Filed under: Drosophila melanogaster (fruit fly)
Lineage: Eukaryota; Metazoa; Arthropoda; Insecta; Diptera; Drosophilidae
Description: U snoRNA host gene 1 (Dmel_CR32886)
Source: RNAcentral